Molecule: small RNA, 30 nt
Filed under: Bombyx mori (domestic silkworm)
Lineage: Eukaryota; Metazoa; Arthropoda; Insecta; Lepidoptera; Bombycidae
Description: ovarian small RNA-11408
Source: RNAcentral
ACGAAGCCACGCCGGUAAACCGAUACCCUC